Bombus impatiens (common eastern bumble bee) is the source of this 1090-nucleotide long non-coding RNA. RefSeq lists it as uncharacterized. The record is from RefSeq and is a predicted model, not a curated record. The transcript has 3 exons. Lineage: Eukaryota; Metazoa; Arthropoda; Insecta; Hymenoptera; Apidae.
CAUGUCCGUAACGCGCGAUUCGAUGUGCUCUGCAUUAAUAAUGCCAGUUAAAGUACAAACCUCUAGUCACGUGCGAAAGGCGUUUACUCGUUAAAAGGUUCAAAGUCUCUAAUCUACGAUUAACUGAUGUUAUUGCAUGUUUUGCACUAACAGAUAGUUUAUUCUUCUAGUUAUCCUGAUAUUUGAUAAAUAAUCAGCUUUAAUAUUGUAGUAACGUGGACAAAUUGCCUAAGAAAUAAUCGGGUGAAUCAUAAACAAUGUUGCGAGAAAACCUAAAUAUCGACAGGACAAAAGGGUCUGGAAACUUCAAUGAACCGAGCAGCCCAUCAAUGUGUCAUCGGUCCUUCAGUCGAAUAGUUACGCGGGAGAAGCCCUACGUGACUAUGACCGCGGACGGUUACGGAACACGUGCGUGCUGGGGCUAUGAGAGAAGACAAAGGGAUGCUUAAGAAGGACGAAUUAACAGACAGUCGUAAGUUGAGAGUCGAGAUGUGAGGAGUCGUUAACUAAGAGUCGAGUUGUGAGGAGUCGAGAGUUGAGUUGUCAAGCUGUUAUGAGUUGUAAACUAUUAAUUGUGAGUUGUCUACAACUAAGUAGAAUCUGGUUAUUAAUAUUGACGAAAUCAAACCUGGCGAAAGAAAGUAUAAUCGAGGAAGCAUGAUUUGCGGGCACUGGCUGCUUGGAAUCAUCGAUACACAUACAGUUGAUUGCUGGAUUAAUCAUCAAUGUUAUUAAGUCUCAUCUUUGUUAUUAAAGAAUAUGUUACCAUUGAUUCAGAGAUACAUACCAAUAGUUUUAAAAGUUGCAGUAGCACCAGAUGGGGCUCACACCUAACAUAUUAAAACGGAAUGAUAACCAGUAAAACAUUGGUUUGGAGGAAAAUCAGGCUACCAUGAUGAAGAAUUUGGCAAACGCCUGUGUAAAUAUUUCAAGCGAUGAUUUUGUAACCAUCAUAAAGUAGACAAAAUGUCAUUUUUAAUUGGUGCAAUAAAAAAAGAAUAAAUAUUUAAAAAUUAAAAUAAAAAUAAAAUACAGAACUAGAUGAAAUUUCUGAAGAGCUACCUUCUCUCCAAUUUCCACAAUUUUUAAA